Homo sapiens (human) is the source of this 982-nucleotide long non-coding RNA. Ensembl annotates it as SDK1 antisense RNA 1. Its record names the gene SDK1-AS1. The record is from Ensembl. NCBI's taxonomy places the organism in Eukaryota, Metazoa, Chordata, Mammalia, Primates, Hominidae.
UGCAAAAGCUGUGGGCACUGAAAGUUUUGCUCCACCGGCCGCGCAGCACCCACUUGGGGUCGGGCUUUGGGACUUGGGGGAGUCAGGAGCAGGCGGGGGCUGGGGAGAGGACGAGGCCCUGGGGAGGGGCUGGAAAAGGCUUUUCACAGCGACUGGCACUUGAUAUUUCCAAGUCUUCUGGAUGUCACUCACCGGAAACCAGACCCUGCGGUGCGAAGACUCAGGUGGCAAAGGCAAAAGCUGGACUGCAUUGUGUGGCCCCAGGGAGCUGCAGACAGAGGAACUGAGUCCUGGCCACUGUGCCUGCUGUCUCUUACAAGUUUAGAGAUGCUGGCAUUGCAUCGAAAUCGGACAACACUCCCUUCCCUCCCUUCCCAGGUACUCCAUUCCCAACCUUUUCCACCAACAGGUCCUUAUUCUCAGAAGCCAAAAAUAAUUUAUUGGUUUCCACUGUUCUCCUUGGCUGAAUCUUCAAGUACACCAACUCCCCCCUCUUCUGGACAGACUCUCCAUAAUUCAGCCAGCAUCUAAUCAGCACCUUGCUUCUCUUCCAUUCUUCCUUUCUCCAGAGUCAUGAUUCUUCCUUCUCAAGUCAAAGAGGAAUUACAAGCAAAUAGACACUAUCCUUGAAUGCAGUUUGGGUUACACAGAAUGGGGAAUGAACUCAAUCUCAUUUUUGCUUCUUUGUUGAAAUAAGCUCAGUAUCUCCCUUGCACAGAGAUUGAAUCGGCUUCACUAAGGCAAGCAGCAUUUCCUCUUUUCUCCCAGUCAGCAUCGCAGCUCUCUGCAUUCCCCUCUCGCAGAGGUGACUAUUCAUUGUGUUCUUUCCAGGAAUGUUUUCUGAGCUUCAGGAGGCCCUGAGUUACCUGGAUAAUUAGUGCUGUCCUUUUGCACAAUGCAAAAACAAAACUAUUAUGAGAUAAUUUCUUUAGCUAAGUUGGGAAUGGGGUUUAAAUGCGUGGGCAAAUAGAUCUGGCAGUCA